RNAcentral lists this transfer RNA (71 nucleotides) under Caroperla siveci. RNAcentral's name for it is "tRNA-Lys". Lineage: Eukaryota; Metazoa; Arthropoda; Insecta; Plecoptera; Perlidae. The record is from RNAcentral.
CAUCAGGUGACUGAAAGCAAGUAUUGGUCUCUUAAACCAAAUUAUAGUGAUAUAGCAAUUACUCCUGAUGA